RNAcentral lists this ribosomal RNA (489 nucleotides) under Papilio crino. RNAcentral describes it as "partial 16S ribosomal RNA". The record is from RNAcentral. Lineage: Eukaryota; Metazoa; Arthropoda; Insecta; Lepidoptera; Papilionidae.
AAACAUGUCUUUUUGGGAAUAAUUUAAAGUUUAAUUUGCCCACUGAUNAAUUUAUUAAAGGGCUGCAGUAUUUUGACUGUACAAAGGUAGCAUAAUCAUUAGUCUCUUAAUUGGUGACUUGUAUAAAAGAUUGGAUGAGAUAUAUACUGUCUCUAUUUAAUUUAUAAAAUUUAAUUUUUUAGUAAAAAAGCUAAAAUAAUUUUAAAAGACGAGAAGACCCUAUAGAGUUUAAUAAUUUAUUUAAUUAUUAUUAAUAUGUAAAUUUUAAAAUUAAAAUUAAUUAAAUUAUUUUGUUGGGGUGAUAGAAAAAUUAAAUUAACUUUUUUUUUAUUUUUAACAUUAAUUUAUGAGUAGGGGAUCUAUUAAUAUUGAUUAAAAGAAAAAAUUACCUUAGGGAUAACAGCGUAAUUUUUUUUUUUAGUUCAAAUAGGAAAAAGAGUUUGCGACCUCGAUGUUGGAUUAAGAUAAAAUUUAAAUGCAAAAGUUAAA